This 105-nucleotide transfer RNA is filed under the name Melampsora larici-populina 98AG31. RNAcentral's name for it is "tRNA-Ser for anticodon GCU". It matches the Rfam family "tRNA". From Rfam's summary of the family: Transfer RNA (tRNA) molecules are approximately 80 nucleotides in length. Their secondary structure includes four short double-helical elements and three loops (D, anti-codon, and T loops). The record is from Rfam by way of RNAcentral. Lineage: Eukaryota; Fungi; Basidiomycota; Pucciniomycetes; Pucciniales; Melampsoraceae.
GGUGCUAUGUCCGAGUGGUUAAGGAGACGCCCUGCUAUGGCUGAUUCGUCAGCACAACGUAGGCGUUGGGUUCUGCCCGCGCGAGUUCGAAUCUCGUUGGCAUCG